RNAcentral lists this unclassified non-coding RNA (361 nucleotides) under Melaleuca leucadendra. Lineage: Eukaryota; Viridiplantae; Streptophyta; Magnoliopsida; Myrtales; Myrtaceae. The record is from RNAcentral.
UUUUUUUUUUUUUUUUUUCCGCGCCCGGUUCGCUUGACGAUCUCACUUGGCGCUUAAGGCGGGCCGGAAAUCGCGUCAAACGCCUUCGGCAUUUGGCCGCGGUGUCGGGCUCGGAACGAGCUUUCCGANACGUGCUCACGGGCCCCGUGAGUCCAUCGGGAUCGAAAGUUAGGCACGAGAACGGGGAGACGCGCGGAUUGCGUUUAUUGAGAAAUUCCCCAUUUCGUAUUUCGUCGCAUGUAAGUAGCGUUGCGUUAACCGCGCGAUGGGUCCUUGAGAGCGGGAAUGUAGAACACUCACAGAGNUNNUUCGAGAGGAGUNACCGAUCGNNUCAAANCUGGCCCANGCANGACNAAAAUGC